Molecule: long non-coding RNA, 1232 nt
Organism: Rhinolophus ferrumequinum (greater horseshoe bat)
Lineage: Eukaryota; Metazoa; Chordata; Mammalia; Chiroptera; Rhinolophidae
Exons: 3
Source: RefSeq, a predicted model, not a curated record
GGUGGGUGCACACACAGGUAACCAGUGUGGAGCCCCUCCGGGGUACCCUGCUCCUGCUGCCCCCUCCCGUGGCGCGAAUUCUCCGCCUGCUGCCUUCUCCGCGGCCGCUUUUAGGACAGAGCCGCUCCGAAUAGCCUUCCAAACUGAUGCCCCGGCCUCAUUGUCUUGUUCCGUGAGAAAAACAUGGAAAUUGGGGACAGUGACGUCUACACAGAAGCGCUUAUAUCCAUUCAUUCAACAUUCAUUGAAUGUCGACUGUGCGCCACACAUGGAGGGAGCCGCUUGCAGAGGGUAAAGUCCAAGUCCUUACAAACGUGGCACAGACAUGGCCGUCCACAACCCCGCCGAGCUGCAUUUGCUGCUGCUCCUCGCCUCCCCGGUAAUGCUCCAGCAACGCACCUCUGUGGUUUCUGCCCUCUUAGGCUUUGCUCAUUCUGCUUCCCUCACGUCACCACCUGCCUUGAGUAUCUUUCCCUGAGUCUUAGCCGGGCCAACCGGUACCCAUCCCUUAACACUGGGCUGAAGGGUCACCUCCCCUAAAAGCCUUACUUGAUCUACACCCCCUUUAUAUAUGCCUAUUUCGCUUACUACACUGAAUUGCAAUUAUAUUUAUGUGUCUGUGCAAAUAGAAUAUCCUUGAGGACAACGACUGUCUGCUUCCACAUCGAUGCUGAGCACUACCUGGCACAUAAAUUACAACUAAUACAUGAUAUAUGAGUGAAUGAAUGUGGAAAUAAAUGAAGACCACCCAAAUGAGAACCAAAAGAGGCUGUUUAUUCUAUGCCUGCUAUAGCAAGGCAGUCAGCCACUAUCACUUCCAUCUGGCAGACUCAAGGGUUGUCAAGGGAGUGGGAACGCUUAAAGUGAAAAAAAGGGGUUGGGGGAACGUUUCAAAUAUGCUCUGAUUUGAGAGUAUUAGCAUGGGGAAGCUGGAAGCAGACUAACUAGAAGCAGGGCAUCUUAGUAAUUGUGUUGGGGAAGCGUAUUUGGCUUUCUCUACUUGGUCCUGAGUUGGAAAGAGGCAAAAAAUAGGGAAGCAGUCAUUGAUGAGUCAAGAGUUCUGGCCUGAUUGCUGCAGAGGUUGUGAGUCGGAGUUCUAAUUGUCAUAUAUGGUCUGGCCAUUGUCCAGUUUGUAUAUUCACUGUCACGUGACUACAGUUGACCCUUGAACACCACAAAUUUGAACUGCACUGGUCCACUGAUGUGUGGAUUUUUCCCAAUAAAUAUGUAUA